GACGAACGCUGGCGGCGUGCUUAACACAUGCAAGUCGAACGGAAAGGCCCUGCCUGCAGGGUACUCGAGUGGCGAACGGGUGAGUAACACGUGGGUGAUCUGCCCUGCACUUCGGGAUAAGCCUGGGAAACUGGGUCUAAUACCGGAUAGGAGCCAUUUUUAGUGUGAUGGUUGGAAAGUUUUUUCGGUGUAGGAUGAGCUCGCGGCCUAUCAGCUUGGUGGUGGGGUAAUGGCCUACCAAGGCGGCGACGGGUAGCCGGCCUGGGAGGGUGGACGGCCACAUUGGGACUGGGGUACGGCCCAGACUCCUACGGGAGGCAGCAGGGGGGAAUAUUGCACAAUGGGGGCAAGCCUGAUGCAGCGACGCCGCGUGGGGGAUGACGGCCUUCGGGUUGUAAACUCCUUUCGCUAGGGACGAAGCUUUUUGUGACGGUACCUAGAUAAGAAGCACCGGCUAACUACGUG
Molecule: ribosomal RNA, 465 nt
Filed under: uncultured bacterium
Lineage: Bacteria
Description: partial 16S ribosomal RNA
Rfam family: Bacterial small subunit ribosomal RNA
Source: RNAcentral